GGCUUCACCAUCGCAGCCACGGAGGGUCAGAAAAACAACUGAACUUCAACAUUCUCUGUUGCAGCAUGUUGUUGAAUAUGCUGUUUAAUGUGUAUAUGCAGCUUAGUUGUGGUGCUUGUUUUUUUUCUUCACUUUAUUCUGUUAGCAGGGAGUCCUGCUCUGACCUACAAAAGUAGGACUCAAUCUAAUGGAGAAUACCGGUAGUACUGGUAGAUUCCCUGUUUAGGUUCUGGAAGGAUAUAAGCUAAUCUCUCAUCCUUUCAGACCAGCAGAUCUUUGCCUGGGGAAAAGCAGGAAACGGAUGCCUGGGAAUGCUUUACCACAACCCAUUUUAGGCUCCCUCCACCAUGUGCCAGACCUCUUCUGUCGCGGCUGGCACACCAUUCUCAUCAUGGGUUAGCCACUAACUUCUGUUCUAACACCAGCUAAUAAUUUAUUGAAAAAUACAGUUGAGAUUGAUUAUGUUCCCUGUUUACAGAAAAGGUUCUCAACUCUAAAACUAUCUGCUCAAACAGCAGUGGACUUUUAAUUGGCAGUGGUAAGAUGGCCAUGGUCUCUCUGGUUACUUUAUCAUUACAUUCACAAUCUGAACAGGUCAAUAGUUUUAUACCAGUGUGGUACUGUACUGACCACAUGGUGUGUCCUGGUGUUUGUCGGUUCACACUAAGGCCUGGGCCAGGCCUCUACCUCCACUGUGGAUCUGGAGUGAGCCAGGCUCAGACAGGGCUACAUGAAGGGCGAUUGGGGGGCACUAAGGAGGAUGACAGACGAGCGACACAUCAAGACCUCCAUAACGUCUCUGACGAACCAGACUGCCGACAGCUCUUGCCCCAUCUGGCUGCGCCAGACCACUCGUAUGGGCUGUGACGGGGUCAACGGGUUGGAGGAGGCAGGAGCCUGUAGAAGGGGAGGCACCAACUUGCUACAGAGCAAGCAAUGAGGUAGCAGAGUUAAGUGACCAGCUCAAAGAGAACGAGAGACUCUGGACAGCAAUCAACCAUCUGACCCUGCGCAAAGCAGGAACUGAAAAGAACAGCAACCACCAAUCCGAUCACAGGCCUGUGGCAGGACAAGGAGGAGCCUCCAACCAUGAUCGGGACAGAUCUGCUGGGGCAAAUCCGUGAGCAAAAACUGUCCUAUCCAAUGAGUGGCGGUGACCCUGUGCAAAAAUAGUAUUAUAUUUGAGAUUCUCCAAAGUAGCCACCCUUUGCCUUAAUGACAGCUUUGCACACUUUAUACACCUGUCAGCACUGGGUGUAGCUGAAAUAGCCAAAUCCACUAAUUUGAAGGGGUGUAUUUCAAGUACUUAUUUUUUGCUAAUUUCCUUUCGAAAGCCCUGAGCCCUAUUCUUCAUAUGUGAUGCUGUAAAAAAAAAAAAAAGCCUAAAUACUAUUUCAAAUAGUCAAAGGUAUACCAAAUAUUGUCUCUCUUACAUCUAAUUUACCAAAUAAGUAUUUAGUGUUAACAUUUAAGUAUUUACAAUCUUGUGUAUUUCAUAUGAUGAUCAGCUUGCUAUUCUGUAUCUGGAAAAAAUAGUGUAUGAGGUUCACUUUUACAUAACUCAAACUACUGAUUCAAUAUAGACAAUCACUUUUAUUGCCUUAAGAUAACCUUGAAUUUGUUUAAACUAGUAUUUAAGUGGAGGAAAUGGUCAUUUUAUGGUUAAUCUUCCUUCUGUAAAAUGUAAUGUCAUGAGUACAGUUCUCUUCCUAGAAUGUAGAAAAGCUCGUUUUUGUAAAGUUAAUGGUAAUAUUUUGUUUUUUCUAUUAAAUGUUUUCUCAACUGUUGCUUUUUCAGGUUUAUAUUGUCUUUGUGUUCCUCCUGUUUUUGAGUAUUGAUUCAUCCUUUUGACUAUUUGUGAAAAGUGUAAUAUUCACAUUGUGUAUUUGUUUACUCUGGGUGGUGUGUGUACAGUAUGUGUGUGUUUUAACACCAACAGCUUGCAACUCUUGGUUGGUGUGCAGUUAAUUGAUACAAUACACAACACUGGUGGAAUUUCCUUUAUCAGUGCAAGAGAAAAGUGUCCUUAUUCCUUAGUGCUUUUGCAUACUCUUAAACCAAAUUGUGUUGUGAUGACUAGUGCACAAAUAAAAAGAAUAGGCUAUGCUUU
Long non-coding RNA from Salvelinus namaycush (lake trout), 2110 nucleotides. RefSeq lists it as uncharacterized. The record is from RefSeq and is a predicted model, not a curated record. The transcript has 3 exons. Lineage: Eukaryota; Metazoa; Chordata; Actinopteri; Salmoniformes; Salmonidae.